This 460-nucleotide ribosomal RNA is filed under the name uncultured Sphingobacteriales bacterium. Its description in RNAcentral is "bacterial SSU rRNA". It matches the Rfam family "Bacterial small subunit ribosomal RNA", at positions 338 to 795 of the family's 1533-position model. Lineage: Bacteria; Pseudomonadati; Bacteroidota; Sphingobacteriia; Sphingobacteriales. The record is from RNAcentral.
CCUACGGGGGGCUGCAGUAAGGAAUAUUGGGCAAUGGACGCAAGUCUGACCCAGCCAUGCCGCGUGAAGGAUGACUGCCCUAUGGGUUGUAAACUUCUUUUGUACGGGAAUAAACCCGGGUACGUGUACCCGGCUGAAUGUACCGUAAGAAUAAGGAUCGGCUAACUCCGUGCCAGCAGCCGCGGUAAUACGGAGGAUCCAAGCGUUAUCCGGAUUCAUUGGGUUUAAAGGGUGCGUAGGCGGAUUUGUAAGUCAGUGGUGAAAUCCUACAGCUUAACUGUAGAACUGCCAUUGAUACUGCAAGUCUUGAGUACAUUUGAUGUGGGCGGAAUGUGUCAUGUAGCGGUGAAAUGCUUAGAUAUGACACAGAACACCGAUUGCGAAGGCAGCUCACAAAACUGUAACUGACGCUGAGGCACGACAGCGUGGGGAUCAAACAGGAUUAGAUACCCUGGUAGUC